UGCUGGCCUCUGUAGAUGCACACGUCAGUUCUCGGAUCUGUGCAGUGAAGAGCCUUGGCACAUUGAGUGGAAGGUGAAGCUCCAGCUCUCUCUUCCCGACCCAGUGUUUCUCACAAGAAACCCCAGUGAUCUGAGCUGAGAACCAGUGCCACAGCCUGCCCAUCGCCUCUUUGCCUUGCUCAUGUAAUAGUCCGAAAUUCUCUCUCCACUCCACCUCUCUCAUUCUUUAGGACUCAAUGCUAGUGCCACCUCUUCCAGGAAGUCUUCCUCUAGGAGUAGGAUUAGGUGCCUCCCUGUGCUCUGGCACUUUCCAGGUUAUUGACAUGAUCCUUGAGGGUCGGAAGGCAGGAAACCUGGCCUCCUUUUGCACUCUGUCCCUGAGACCUUGCUCAGCAAGCGUGUUGACCUGGCCUGAGCACCCCAUGCUGGUCUCCCUGGCAGCUCAGAGCACCUGUCCCCACCCCUCUCCAGCUCAGCUCUGGCUCACCUGGAGGAGGGGCACAAGGGCUCCAUUGUGUGCUAGAGGGGACAGGAAUAGGGUGAUGCUCUCGAGGGUGGGGCGGGGGCUGGAGCCCGGACAGAUGGAACCCAGACAAAGCCCUCUUUAAGCGGGGAUCGUGGCAGCUGUGCUGACAGUGUACUACAGGAGCCUGGUUAGCUAAAGGAACCAAAUGCCCAGGACGCUGUGAACUUGGCAGUGUCUGGAGGGUCUUCCCAGCGCUGCAGGUGGAUCAUGCUGCUGUCCCAUCUGACAGAGGAGGAGAUGGAGGCUCAAGCAGGUUAUACCAGGCCCGACCACCAAUAAGAGGUCACAGGGCCCUCAGUGCCUACCCUGAUUCUCCUUUGCUGCCCCUGCUCCUCUCAUCCUAAAUCCUCCAAACUCAAGCCCUCCCACGCAUCUUUGAAUGUCUCCCGUCAUUUCCAUGAAUCUGGCAUUGUCUCUAUCCCCUCCCAUACCCUAGACUAGGGCCCCCAGCAAGGACGCAGCCUCCUUCCUCUGCAUCUCUGCAUAGAGCUCGGGACAAGGCUGAGUACACACCAAGUGCACAGGGGCAGAGGCAGGGGCAGAGUGGAGCAGGCCCUGAGAUAGUUCUAGAAAAUGGGCCCCUCGGUUACCUUUGGAGGAAGGGAAGAACCCGGCCAGGACCCUUCUGUGUCUCAACACACGUGCCAGCAGGUGGCACACGCCUGUAGUCCCAGGUACGCUGGAGGCUGUG
This 1217-nucleotide long non-coding RNA is filed under the name Homo sapiens (human). RNAcentral's name for it is "HSALNT0391660". Lineage: Eukaryota; Metazoa; Chordata; Mammalia; Primates; Hominidae. The record is from RNAcentral.